UCUGAGCCGCUUACUUAAGCCAGCACUGCUGUGCGGGGCUCUGGCUGCGCCUGGUCUGGCAGGCACCAUGUGUGCAUCCCGCGAUGAUUGGCGCUGUGCACGCUCCAUGCACGAAUUCUCAGCUAAGGACAUCGACGGGCACAUGGUCUGCCUGGAAAAGUACAGGGGUUUCGUGUGCAUCGUCACCAACGUGGCCUCGCAAUGAGGCAAAACCGACGUAAACUACACUCAGCUAGUCGAUCUGCAUGCCCGAUAUGCUGAGUGUGGUUUACGAAUCCUGGCCUUCCCCUGCAACCAGUUUGGGAGGCAGGAGCCAGGAAGUAAUCAAGAAAUCAAGGAGUUUGCAGCCGGCUACAACGUCAAGUUUGACAUGUACAGCAAGAUCUGUGUAAAUGGGGACGAUGCCCACCCACUGUGGAAAUGGAUGAAAGUCCAGCCCAAGGGCAGGGGCAUGCUGGGAAAUGCCAUCAAAUGGAACUUGGAAGGGCCUGUGGGGAGUCUGUGUAGAGGUUUCCACGAUCUGACUGUUGCCUGGGCUACAAGAUGCCACCCUUUCUGCCCGUCGAACAGGUUACACCAGCAGACAGGAGGUACCGGUUUCCGUUGCCAGGACUCAAGAUGGCGACACGAACGUCGCGACCAUCAGAGCCACAUGCUCCGCACUCCGCCUCGGCCCCCCUCGGAUCUCACUGGACUUUUAGAAGUCACCGUGGGGACUCUCAAGGACGGAAUCUCGGGCUCCGGCGUCAAUGCUCCAUUAUCUGCCUUAAAGGACCGCAUUCCUAGGCACACAAUGAGCUAGAAUCACCUAACUUACAACACCGCCCACC
Molecule: non-coding RNA, 830 nt
Organism: Mus caroli (Ryukyu mouse)
Lineage: Eukaryota; Metazoa; Chordata; Mammalia; Rodentia; Muridae
Source: RefSeq, a predicted model, not a curated record